UGCUGCGGAAGGAGGACAUGCAUAUGAGAUACUAUUGUCGACAGUGGCAGAUAUGGAAAAAUAUGCACCAAAUGCCCUGUUGCAUACUGAACUAAAAGAGCUUAAGGAUUCUCUACUAGCUAGUAGGAUGUACCUUAAAACAGAAUUUAAAGCACAUUUAAAGCAGUUUGAUUCUUGUGCUGACCACUGCAUCAGUUUUGCACUCAGUGACCCAGGUGAUGAGUGUCUGCAGCAGAAUUGCCUUGAUCA
This is a long non-coding RNA of Saccostrea echinata, 249 nucleotides long. RefSeq lists it as uncharacterized. The record is from RefSeq and is a predicted model, not a curated record. Lineage: Eukaryota; Metazoa; Mollusca; Bivalvia; Ostreida; Ostreidae. The transcript is spliced from 3 exons.